This 468-nucleotide ribosomal RNA is filed under the name uncultured bacterium. Its description in RNAcentral is "partial 16S ribosomal RNA". It matches the Rfam family "Bacterial small subunit ribosomal RNA", at positions 28 to 507 of the family's 1533-position model. The record is from RNAcentral.
GACGAACGCUGGCGGCGUGCUUAACACAUGCAAGUCGAACGGAAAGGCCCUGCUUUUGUGGGGUGCUCGAGUGGCGAGCGGGUGGGUAACACGUGAGUAACCUGCCCUUGACUUUGGGAUAACUUCAGGAAACUGGGGCUAAUACAGGAUAGGAGCUCCUGCUGCAUGGUGGGGGUUGGAAAGGUUCGGCGGUUGGGGAUGGGCUCGCGGCGUAUCAGCUUGUUGGUGGGGUAGUGGCUUACCAAGGCUUUGACGGGUAGCCGGCCUGAGAGGGUGACCGGCCACAUUGGGACUGAGAUACGGCCCAGACUCCUACGGGAGGCAGCAGUGGGGAAUAUUGCACAAUGGGCGGAAGCCGGAUGCAGCAACGCCGCGUGCGGGAUGACGGCCUUCGGGUUGUAAACCGCUUUCGCCUGUGACGAAGCGUGAGUGACGGUAAUGGGUAAAGAAGCACCGGCUAACUACGUG